ACCCAAUUUUGGGGGGAUAAGGGGAAGGGGUGAUAAACAGGGGUAACCCGCCUUAAUUUGGGAUAGGGGGGGGAACGGGUUUAAAACGGGAAAGGAGGCUCCCCCGCCUGGGGGGGUAGAAAAAAUUUUUGGGUUGGGGAGGGCCCCGGGCCUUUUAAGUUGGUGGGGAGGUAAGGCUCCACCGGGGGGAGGGGGGGGUAGCCGGCUUGAGAGGGUGACCGGCCCCCGGGGGGAAUGAGCCCCGGCCCAAAAUUCCUAGGGGAGGCAGCAGUGGGGAAUUUUGCCCAAUGGGCGCAAGCUUGAUGCAGCGACGCCGCUUGAAGGAUGACGGCCUUCGGGUUGUAAACCUCUUUCAGUAGGGAAGAAGCGAAAGUGACGGUACCUGCAGAAGAAGCACGGGCUAACUACGUGCCAGCAGCCGCGGUAAUACGUAGGGUGCGAGCGUUAUCCGGAAUUAUUGGGCGUAAAGAGCUCGUAGGCGGUUUGUCGCGUCUGUCGUGAAAGUCCGGGGCUUAACCCCGGAUUUGCGGUGGGUACGGGCAGACUAGAGUGCAGUAGGGGAGACUGGAAUUCCUGGUGUAGCGGUGGAAUGCGCAGAUAUCAGGAGGAACACCGAUGGCGAAGGCAGGUCUCUGGGCUGUAACUGACGCUGAGGAGCGAAAGCAUGGGGAGCGAACAGGAUUAGAUACCCUGGUAGUCCAUGCCGUAAACGUUGGGCACUAGGUGUGGGGACCAUUCCACGGUUUCCGCGCCGCAGCUAACGCAUUAAGUGCCCCGCCUGGGGAGUACGGCCGCAAGGCUAAAACUCAAAGGAAUUGACGGGGGCCCGCACAAGCGGCGGAGCAUGCGGAUUAAUUCGAUGCAACGCGAAGAACCUUACCAAGGCUUGACAUGUUCUCGAUCGCCGUAGAGAUACGGUUUCCCCUUUGGGGCGGGUUCACAGGUGGUGCAUGGUUGUCGUCAGCUCGUGUCGUGAGAUGUUGGGUUAAGUCCCGCAACG
This 1000-nucleotide ribosomal RNA is filed under the name Micrococcus luteus. RNAcentral's name for it is "partial 16S ribosomal RNA". It matches the Rfam family "Bacterial small subunit ribosomal RNA", at positions 74 to 1094 of the family's 1533-position model. The record is from RNAcentral. Lineage: Bacteria; Bacillati; Actinomycetota; Actinomycetes; Micrococcales; Micrococcaceae.